UAGAGUUUGAUCCUGGCUCAGAAUCAACGCUGGCGGCGUGCCUAACACAUGCAAGUCGAGCGAGAAAGUGUAGCAAUACAUGAGUACAGCGGCGCACGGGUGAGUAACACGUGGGUAAUCUGCCAUGAAGUUCGGGAUAAUCCCGCGAAAGCGGGACUAAUACCGGAUGUGACCGAUGGGAGGCAUCUUCUGUUGGUUAAAGUUGGGGACCGUAAGGCCUGACGCUUCUUGAUGAGCCCGCGGCCUAUCAGCUAUUUGGUGAGGUAACGGCUCACCAAGGCUACGACCGGUACCUGGUCUGAGAGGACGACCCGCCCCCCUGGAAGCGACAACCGUGCCGCACACCGAC
Molecule: ribosomal RNA, 349 nt
Filed under: uncultured bacterium
Lineage: Bacteria
Description: bacterial SSU rRNA
Rfam family: Bacterial small subunit ribosomal RNA
Source: RNAcentral